CGACUCUUGACCUCUUAAUGGUGAAGCCGUACAAUGUCUACGUCACAGUUGCCUACCCGCCAGACACAGACACCCCUGGGCUAGCUGAAGAAAACAAAACAAAGCCUUUAGAGACUCGACUCAUUUCAGAGACCUCAUCUGUUUGCAAACCAGAACAGGUGGCCAAACAAAUUGUUAAAGAUGCCAUACAAGGAAAUUUUAACAGUUCCAUUGGCUCAGAUGGGUACAUGCUCUUGGCCCUGACCUGUGGGAUGGCUCCAGUAACUUCUAUUACUGAAGGGCUUCAGCAGGUGGUCACCAUGGGCCUUUUCCGCACCAUUGCUUUGUUCUACCUUGGAAGUUUCGAUAGCAUAGUUCGCCGCUGCAUGAUGCAGAGAGAAAAAUCUGAAAUCACAGAUAAAACUGCCUAAUUCCUCCCCCUUGGAAGAAGACUGUUUCCAAAUAAUUUGAACAUCUUGCUGCUAAAUGGGACCCAAUUUUUGGCCUAUAGACACUUAUGUAUUGUUUCUGAUUAUGUGAGAUUGGACCGGUGCUCUUCAGAAAUAUGGCUGCACGCAAGGAGAUAGAAGCUCAACUCCAGACAAUAUCAUUAAUACUAUGCAAAUAUGGAAUAGGAGACCAUUUGAUCUUCUGGGCUUUGAGAUGGAGAGGUGAUGGUAUGAGAACUAGUAGCAUGUGAAUAAGGUAAAGAACAGAAUUCCAGAAUGGUAAUUUAACAUUUUUUUUCUAAUUAUUUUUUACCCCCAUAGAGAUCUAGUCCAGAAAGGUACUUUAUGGCAGCAUAAGAAGUCUUGAGAAUUUUUGUAACCUUCCAUAAAAGGCAGUUUAUGGGUUUCUGGGACUUUUUUUUUUUUAAGUUGGUAUAUUUUAUUCAAGAUUAGUUUUACUCAUUGUCAGUGAGUCUGAAUGUCACUGACACCUGUGCUGCUGGUGGCAACUCAUGGCUUCUCUCUCUCUUUGAUCCCAUAAAGCCGCAUGGGGGAUGGGAGAGGGCAGUGCAGGUGGAAGGUAAUAAGGAGAUAGAUAUUUUCCAGCAGGAAAAGCAGUAUUUUCUUGUCUUCUUUAGGUUCGACUGCAUAGGGAACUUUUCAUUCUUCUCUCAUGGAGAAAGGCAGUCUCCUUAAAUGUUUUCUGAAGAGAAAUAAAAUCUUAGAAGCUUAAAAGUUUACAGUUUCCUCAAUAGCCAUGAUGACCUGAAGUUCACCUAUUCCAGUUUAGUGUCUACUUGUUCUUCCCAUCUUCCUUUCCAAUUUUGCUUACAUUGCUUUAAUAUUUUUGUAAAAAAAAAAAAAAGGACAGAAAAAAGACCAGCUAAAAUUUUUGACUUUUUAAAUUAAUUCAUGAAUUAAUUAAAACAAACAACAAAGAAAAAAGUGUGACAUUCUUUUCAUAGCGUAUAUGUAGCUUUUAUGAAAGGCUGAUGAUUGUAUAUUUAAAUUUUACUCAUUAAGAAAGAUGAGGCUGAUUUUGAAGAUACUCAUUUUUGAAAUGAAAUAAUCACCUGUUCUUUCUGU
Molecule: non-coding RNA, 1514 nt
Organism: Microcebus murinus (gray mouse lemur)
Lineage: Eukaryota; Metazoa; Chordata; Mammalia; Primates; Cheirogaleidae
Source: RefSeq, a predicted model, not a curated record